UACAGAGGUCCCGAGCGUUGUUCGGAUUCAUUGGGCGUAAAGGGUGCGUAGGCGGCGCGGGUAGUCAUCGGUGAAAGUUCAGGGCUCAACUCUGAAUCGGCCGGUGAUACUCCCGUGCUCGAGCACUGUAGAGGCAGGUGGAAUUCCGGGUGUAGCGGUGGAAUGCGUAGAGAUCCGGAAGAACACCGGUGGCGAAGGCGGCCUGCUGGGCAGUAGCUGACGCUGAUGCGCGACAGCGUGGGGAGCAAACAGG
RNAcentral lists this ribosomal RNA (253 nucleotides) under uncultured bacterium. RNAcentral's name for it is "partial 16S ribosomal RNA". It matches the Rfam family "Bacterial small subunit ribosomal RNA", at positions 524 to 776 of the family's 1533-position model. The record is from RNAcentral.